UACAGAGGUCUCAAGCGUUGUUCGGAUUCAUUGGGCGUAAAGGGUGCGUAGGUGGCGCGGUAAGUCGGGUGUGAAAUCUCGGAGCUUAACUCCGAAAUUGCAUUCGAUACUGUCGGGCUCGAGUCCGGAAGAGGAGUGUGGAAUUCCUGGUGUAGCGGUGAAAUGCGCAGAUAUCAGGAGGAACACCAAUGGCGAAGGCAGCACUCUGGGACGUGACUGACACUAAGACACGAAAGCGUGGGGAGCAAACAGG
This 253-nucleotide ribosomal RNA is filed under the name uncultured bacterium. RNAcentral describes it as "partial 16S ribosomal RNA". It matches the Rfam family "Bacterial small subunit ribosomal RNA", at positions 524 to 776 of the family's 1533-position model. The record is from RNAcentral.